RNAcentral lists this ribosomal RNA (830 nucleotides) under Gigantidas tangaroa. RNAcentral describes it as "eukaryotic LSU rRNA". It matches the Rfam family "Eukaryotic large subunit ribosomal RNA", at positions 181 to 831 of the family's 3401-position model. The record is from RNAcentral. Lineage: Eukaryota; Metazoa; Mollusca; Bivalvia; Mytilida; Modiolidae.
CCAAGUCCUCCUGAUCGGGGCCUCUCCCAGAGUGGGUGUCAGGCCUUUACUGGCACUCGACGCUGUGGUUCUGACGUCCUUGGAGUCGGGUUGUUGAGAAUGCAGCCCAAAGUGGGUGGUAAACUCCAUCUAAGGCUAAAUACCGACACGAGUCCGAUAGCGGACAAGUACCGUGAGGGAAAGUGAAAAGAACUUUGAAGAGAGAGUUCAAGAGUACGUGAAACUGCUUAGAGGUAAACGGGUGGAUCCGCAAAGUCGACCCGGGGAAUUCAACUUGCCGUUCUCGGAUGGCGGACUGUUGGGAUAGGGAUCCGUAAAGACCCGCCUGGCGUUCGGCUGUCUUCGGCGAGUGCACUUUCCUCGGGUAGAGUGCCACGACCGGUUUCGGGGCGGUCACAAGCCAGUCGGGAAGGUGACUUCCUCCUCGGAGGAAGUGUUAUAGCCCGGCCAGGUCGACUCGUUCCGAGACCGAGGAUUUGCCGCGUCUCACCUGCCCUCGGCCCUCUGCUCUGCGUUCGACUGGGGAAGCACUGCUUGCAGUUCUCUCCGACCGCGUGGGUGGAUCGGCUGGGAAGCACGAGGCGCUGCGGGUCAGUGGCGAAUCGGUCGGUCCUCCACCCGACCCGUCUUGAAACACGGACCAAGGAGUCUAACAUGUGCGCGAGUCAUGGGGUUCUGUACGAAACCUAAAGGCGCAAUGAAAGUGAAGGUCAACCUCCGGUCGGCCUAGGUAGGAUCCCCGUCGAGGGGCGCACUACCGGCCCGUCUCAACCACAUCGUUGGUGGGGCGGAGCAAGAGCGUACACGUUGGGACCCGAAAGAUGGUGAAC